CAUGGCCCUGGGCGAAGCCUGAUGCAGCAACUGCCGCGUGUGUGAAGGAGGCCUGCGGGUUGUAAAGCACUCUCGGUAGGGAAGAUUAUGACGGUACCUACAGAAGAAGCACCGGCUAACUCCGUGCCAGCAGCCGCGGUAAUACGGAGGGUGCAAGCGUUAAUCGGAAUCACUGGGCGUAAAGCGCGCGUAGGCGGUCUUGUAAGACGGAUGUGAAAGCCCCGGGCUUAACCUGGGAACUGCAUUCGAUACUGCUUGACUAGAGUAUGGUAGAGGGUAGCGGAAUCCCGGGUGUAGCGGUGAAAUGCGUAGAUAUCCGGAGGAACACCAGUGGCGAAGGCGGCUACCUGGACCAAUACUGACGCUGAGGUGCGAAA
RNAcentral lists this ribosomal RNA (377 nucleotides) under uncultured bacterium. Its description in RNAcentral is "bacterial SSU rRNA". It matches the Rfam family "Bacterial small subunit ribosomal RNA", at positions 362 to 758 of the family's 1533-position model. The record is from RNAcentral.